RNAcentral lists this long non-coding RNA (1081 nucleotides) under Capra hircus (goat). Its description in RNAcentral is "lncRNA (ENSCHIG00010000204.1)". Lineage: Eukaryota; Metazoa; Chordata; Mammalia; Artiodactyla; Bovidae. The record is from RNAcentral.
GAUGGACAUGAUUUUGAGCAAGGUCUGAGAGUUGGAGGUGCAGUAGGAAGCCUUUUGUGCUACAGUCCGUGGAGUCGCAAAUAAUCGGACAGGACUGAGUGACUGAAAUGAACUGAACUGCCAGUAUUCUGGGAGUUUUCUAAGAACUAUGCAAAAGAGAUUUUAAUGACCCAGAUAACCAUGAUGAUGUCAUCACUCAAAGUUUCCUGGUGUAUCACAUAUGCUCACAAAUAUAAUCCUCUCAGAUGCCAGGAAGCACCUGACAGUUUCGUACUUGUACCUCAGGUUCCCUUUCAACCAUGACUGUUACUAGAGCUGGUGACAGGAAACACAGCUAAACCACUUCUAUCCUGCCAACAGCAUCAGACACACUUCUCCAGCUUGCUGAACCUGAGUCCCAGCCUGAGAGCUCCUGCCUCUGCAAAACAGACUGCUGCCCUGUCCACACCCCUGCUGUCUCUCACUCUGUGGGGAGCAGGCCCUAAUUCUACAGGGAAGAAAGUGUUCAUGCGCAGCCUUGACAAAAGCCGACGUCCCUUCUCAGAUCACCGUGAGGGGUCUCUGAGGCUCCUUUUUGGCUCAUUCAGCUGCGUCAUUCAGCCGACAGGUAUAAAACAUGCUACCCUCUGUCUCUCUCUUUAAGCAUUGCUAGAAAGCAGUCUUCAGGGGGGAAAAAAGUAGAAUACAUUCCAGGAGGUUAGUUAUGCCUCCACCUGUUGUGGCCACAUUUGAGGCAGGACAGAGUUAAUAGACUCAUACUGAUGGUUCAACCGACUUGUUCUAGAAUCACAGCUCUUUCUCCAGCUAUCCAUCCUGCAUUCUUGAAUGCCAUUUGUGCACUGAGCCCAAUAGAAAAAUGUUACAUCAGUCCUAGAAAAGGAAUUUGCCUGCUAAAUAGUGCUGAAAUUACAUAGCAAUUUAAAUCUUUCUUCAAAUCAACACCUUGUGCAGUUUACAGUACUGUACUGGUCCCACAUUAAAAUUACCUGGAUGAUUUUAACAAGAUGAGUUAAAUUAGAAUCUCUGAGGCUGCUGCUGAAGCCUCUGCAGAGAGAUGUUUUAGGACUGGUGAAUAUACAUU